This is a non-coding RNA of Myodes glareolus (Bank vole), 1029 nucleotides long. The record is from RefSeq and is a predicted model, not a curated record. Lineage: Eukaryota; Metazoa; Chordata; Mammalia; Rodentia; Cricetidae.
UCUUUCAGCACCCCUCUGGUACACUUGAAGGCAGAGGUACCACGGGCCAUCGUGAUUAAGGCUACUACUUGACCCUUUUUACCCACCCACCUUCGGACUCUUCCCCUCUGGACUGAGCAGCUGGGAGCAACCAAAUGACCCACCCUCAUGCAAUAGUUUUCUGGAUACCAAGCAUACAAAAUCAAUGAGAGGAUCUAGAAUUCUUCAAAAGGGAAAAAAUGCAAUGCAAAAUGUGGCAUGGAUAGAUCCCUUUUGACCAUACACAGGAGCAUGUAUUGAUGGAUGAUGAAUGCUAUGGUGGAAUGGGAAGUUCCAUCUAAGUCUGCACUUUGGGGACAACUGAGAGGAGUAUCACUCUCUUGUAUGCCAGGGGACUAUAUGUCGUAUAGACACAAAAGAAUUGUUCAGUUUCAAAUAUUGUUGUCCUUAGAGCAAUGUAAUAAUAUCUAAAACCUUUUAACUUUGUAACUGUAAGUAGCUGCCAGAUCUCAUAAGUGCUAAAAGAACAGAAUGUGCCUGAAUUGAUAGUUAAGCUUGAAAAAAUGCUGAAAUAUUUGUCUAGAAUCAGGUUAUGUAGAGAUUGGGAAAAUGUGUUUGGAGAAGCAUGAAAGGAAAAGGGGGGACUUUUAUGAUGACUAUGACAUAAUUCUUACAAAUAAAUAAAUAGAAAUCAAUAAUAAAACUGUGCAUGUAAUCCUAGAAGAACAGGACAGAGAAAUACUUGAAGUAUAUGACACCAUAAAUUGAAUGAGCCUAGCAUAUAUUUAUGAUCACUUCACUAACACCUAAAUCCAUAUACUUUAUUCUCACCAGUUCAUGGAACUUUCUCCAAAACUGAACACAUACUUGGACACAAAGCAUUUCUCAACAGAUGGAAGAAAUUAAGACAACACCUUGAAAACUCUCUGACUGCCAUUGAUUAAAGAUGGAUACCACCACCAAUAGAAACCACAGAAAUGGGAAAUGAAUAAUGCACUACUCUAAGAAAAUUGGGACAAGAGUAAUGAAGUUUUUGUAAAUUGAAUGAAA